Molecule: transfer RNA, 67 nt
Filed under: Rhabdoblattella disparis
Lineage: Eukaryota; Metazoa; Arthropoda; Insecta; Blattodea; Blaberidae
Description: tRNA-Ser
Source: RNAcentral
GAAAUAUGUUGUCCAAGUGAAAGCUGCUAACUUAUCACUUUAGCGGUUAAAUUCCGUUUAUAUUUCU